GAGUUUGAUCAUGGCUCAGAUUGAACGCUGGCGGCAGGCCUAACACAUGCAAGUCGAGCGGAUGACGGGAGCUUGCUCCUUGAUUCAGCGGCGGACGGGUGAGUAAUGCCUAGGAAUCUGCCUGGUAGUGGGGGACAACGUUUCGAAAGGAACGCUAAUACCGCAUACGUCCUACGGGAGAAAGCAGGGGACCUUCGGGCCUUGCGCUAUCAGAUGAGCCUAGGUCGGAUUAGCUAGGUUGGGUGGGGUAAGUGGCUCACCAAGGCGACGAUCCGUAACUGGUCUGAGAGGAUGAUCAGUCACACUGGAACUGAGACACGGUCCAGACUCCUACGGGAGGCAGCAGUGGGGAAUAUUGGACAAGUGGGCGAAAGCCUGAUCCAGCCAUGCCGCGUGUGUGAAGAAGGUCUUCGGAUUGUAAAGCACUUU
This 429-nucleotide ribosomal RNA is filed under the name bacterium enrichment culture clone ALO1_GLFRUDD03GAKI8. RNAcentral describes it as "bacterial SSU rRNA". It matches the Rfam family "Bacterial small subunit ribosomal RNA", at positions 9 to 436 of the family's 1533-position model. The record is from RNAcentral.